Long non-coding RNA from Oncorhynchus nerka (sockeye salmon), 587 nucleotides. RefSeq lists it as uncharacterized. NCBI's taxonomy places the organism in Eukaryota, Metazoa, Chordata, Actinopteri, Salmoniformes, Salmonidae. The transcript has 2 exons. The record is from RefSeq and is a predicted model, not a curated record.
UUGAAUUCAUGAUAGUUGACAACUACACCUAAUGUAAAUCAAAACUAGAGGUUGAACUGUCUGUGCCCAGUGGGUUACCUUUCCCACAUAGGUUUCUGUGUCUUGUCUCUCAGGACAAGCACUGUCUGUUGGAGCUAGGCCUGAGUAGUGUGGAGGGCCUUCUGAGGCAGGGGGUCUACCCUAUCGUCAUUAAUAUCCGACCCAAGAACAAAAAACACAAGAAGCUAAAGAAGUUGCUGACCGGGCGAGGGGAGGAUGGCAUGAUGGAGGAGGUGUGUCAGGCGGACGAGCAGCAGCUGGAGACCCUGCCCCUGCUCUACCACACUUUGGAACCCAGCACCUGGAGCUGCACCGAGGAUCUGCUUCUCGCCAUACGCAAUGUCAUCCACAGCCAGCAGAAGGCACUGCUGUGGGUUGAGUUGGAAAGGCUCCAAUAGAUCCCAAUGUUUUCACCCAGUUUUAUUGUUUUACUAAUUUGAUACAAUUAUUAUAUACAUUUCACACACACCCAUUUAGAUACCUAGUUCUACCACAGUAAAUAUGAAGUUUCAUGUUCAUUUGAUGAAUUAAACCUUACAAGCUCAGUA